GGUCCUUGUUUUCCGCCUCCGGUGCUUGAAAUGUUCGCAACCUGAGUCUGACAUCUUCUCUUUUCUUUUCUCUUCUUUUUAGUUUUUACUCUAAAAGUUGAAGUAGCCCAGGUUUUCCCAAAGCCCACAGCCAUGGAACCCUCAAUGACUAGCCACAACCUGGAACGCAUCUUCAAAAACACAUUUGCCCGCUAAAAUUAUUUCGUUUCGUUUCUCUUUAAAAAAAAAAAAAAAGGGUUUAGCGACGCGGAACCCAAGUGAAGAUGGUAGCCGAAUUUCUCUCCCUCUCUUUAUUCCUUUCUUUCGUCGAAGCGAAAGAGAACUCAAGAUUUCUGGGAUUCCAAUUGGGCAUCGCCGCUCACAACCACCGCACUCCGGGAAAUCAGAGCUCCUUCCUUUUUUAUUUCUUUCUUUCUUUCUCCUUUUUUCUGCUUCAUUGAAUUCUGUACAAUGAUUGUUGGUUUGGAUUUGUGGGUCUCUUCUAGGAGAUGUGUUCCACGUUGUGUAGCCCAUGUGUUUGAUGAUUUUCCACUGCGUUUUUUUUUUUAUUUAGGGCUGCUGGGUUUGGAACUGGGAGGUGAUGGCCAGUUAUUUGUUUCAGGCACAUGGAUUACAAAUAAAGCAAAAGAGAAGUUCUCUAGCAUUAGUGAAGACAUCUCUGUAUGGACUUUGUGUAUUGUUCUGUGGUUUUUUUUUUUAGCUUUGUACCCUUUGCUUUACCUUUUCCCUGUUAUCGUUGUGACAUUGUCCCUGUCUCAUAUCUGGUUUUGGAGCUAAUUUUGGUCAUUAUGUGUAUGCCAAUUUGUUGAUAUUCUGCUAAUCAUGGGAAGGUUGUCAGAAACUAGCUGUAGGAUGUGAGAUCUGUAGGUUUUUCCAAGAAAUGAAAUGAACCGGGAGAUGAGUUUUCCAACGAAAAAGAAAAUUGUUGAAA
This is a long non-coding RNA of Alnus glutinosa, 931 nucleotides long. RefSeq lists it as uncharacterized. The transcript is spliced from 2 exons. The record is from RefSeq and is a predicted model, not a curated record. NCBI's taxonomy places the organism in Eukaryota, Viridiplantae, Streptophyta, Magnoliopsida, Fagales, Betulaceae.